RNAcentral lists this ribosomal RNA (1668 nucleotides) under Triticum aestivum (bread wheat). Its description in RNAcentral is "partial small subunit ribosomal RNA". The record is from RNAcentral. Lineage: Eukaryota; Viridiplantae; Streptophyta; Magnoliopsida; Poales; Poaceae.
AUGGACGACGCCAUCGACCUCGACGCCGCCGGCGGCCUCGCCUCCCUCGCCUCGUCCAGCGCCGCCGCGACCAAGACGAAGAAGCCUCGUGCCCCGCGCAAGACCGCUGCCGCGACCAAGCCGAAGAAGCCGCUGACGCCCGAACAGCGGGCAAGGGAGUCGGCCAAGAGGAAGGACCGGAGGCACGCCGCGGACGCGAGGGAUGAGGCAGCCGCGCAGGCCGCCGUCGCCGCCGUGCAGCAGGAGUUCACCAACGCCCGCGUCGCGGCGGCAACGAGGGAGGCACUCUACAUGCUAGGGGUAAACCCUAGCCAGCGCAGCCUCGUCCAAGCCGCCGUCGCCGUGGCCAGCACCGGCUCCUCGGCGUUUCCUCGGAUGGUGCUGCCCGACUCACCCCGCGCGUCGGUUUGCAACCCGAUCCCCGGCUUCCACGUCUACCCGCAGGCCUCCCGCCUCUCCGGGGAGUGCUCGCCCGACGUGAGCGUGGUCGCGCCUUCCACGCCCGCGCCCGCGCCCAUCGACCUCAACGCCACCCCGGUGGUCGGUGGCUCAUCAUCCGGCGGCUUGAGGAAACGCGCGCGGCAGACGCCGGACGACGGGCUCCCGGACGCCCGUAACCUGUUCGAGGAAAUGCCGUCCGCCGUCGACGAGGACUACAUGCGGAACCUCAUCUUCGAGGGUGGUGUUCCGGGCGCUGGCUACGAUCCUGACGAGACACAAAGCCAGGACGGCCGCGGGGCGUUCACGCCGGCCGCUGGCUAUGAUCCCGAUCAGGCGGCCUUCAUGCGUGAUCAGGUCGGCAUCGACCUGGACGGCUUCCCCCUUGACCACGAGUUCCCGGGAGACUACGGGCUAGAGGAAGAGGACGAGUGCGAUAUCGAAGUGGAGCCUUUGUUCGAGGACGAGCUCGCCAACCAAGCCGCCGGUCCUAAGCCGAAGCGCAAGAGCAAGCGCAUGAAGGCGUACACAGCUGCCGAGGACAAGCUUCUUUGCGAGUGUUGGCGCGACAUCGGACAAGACCCCAAGACGGGCGCCGAGCAAAAGCAUUCAACCUUUGGACUCGUGUCCACCGAGAGUUUCAUGAGCGCAAGAAGCAUUUCAAGCUUUGGAGGUAUUCAAGGUUCAACACAAUGGCAAGUGCUUCAACCUCUCCCAUUGUUAUCGGGUCAUCAAGGACGAGGAGAAGUUCAAGGCACAAAAUGCCGCACUCAAGGCACGUGGGGGAAGAAAGCCGUGGAGGAUGUUGGGGAGGGCGAGCCGGCACGGCCGCGGGGGAAGACCAACUCCAAGAAGGAGGACAAGCGAGAUGCGGCCACCAACGCCUUGAUCGCAAGCGUGGACGGCAUGAUGAAUAAGAAGGACUCAAGGGAGGAGGAGCGCCGACGUUUCAAGGCGGAGCAAAUGGAUGCUUUCAUGGAGAUCCAAAGGAGGAGGCUUGAUCUGGACGCCGAGAAGCAAACCAAGAUGUUUGAGCUCGAGGCGGAGAAGCAAGCCAAGAUGCUAGAGAUCGAGGCCGCCAACGCCAAGACCAAGGCCAAAGAAGUGGCUCUCGCAAGCAUGAUGACCGGGGUGGAGAUCAUGAAGGCGGAUCUCAACAGCGUGUCGCCAAGGAAGAGGCCGUGGUUCGAGAAGAUGCAGGCCAACAUACUCAAGUUCAACGACGAGUGA